AAAAAUUUUGGCAGUGUCUACUGCUGGGAAGAAGAAAGAGAAAGAUGGUGAUUAUGAUCCAAGAUGUGAUAAAUCCUUGUCUAAGAAGAAAGGCAAAUCUGAUUUAUCACCAAUCAAGUUUUCAUUUUCAAGAUCUAAUCCCGAUCAACAGAAAGACACAUUUGAUAGAUCGAAUUUCACUGAGCAAGAAAUAAAGUCAAUUAAUCUACAAGUAUUGUCAGACUAUUCCCAUUUAAAUGAAGUGGUUAGUAAUUUGAGUGAUGAGCAAAAAAGAGACAUUAGGGAUAUUGGGUUUGGGAGUCUGUUAGAUAUUAGGAUAAAGAGUUUUGUCCUAAUCUGAAUUUGGAGGUGUUGUUAAAUUACAAUGCAUCUGGAAUGAUGUUUUCAACAAAGAAUGGUAAACUGAUUUUUAAUAAGUUUACCAUUAGUGAUGUUUUGGGGUUACCUGUGUCAGAUAGAGCAGUAGAGGUUAUAGAUGAUGACGCCUUUAGGAGGAAAGGUAGUCAGAUAGAGGCUGGAAGUGCCAGGAAGGAUUGGCAUAGGUUUCUUGGUAUUUCUGAUCCCAAGAAGGUAUAUAUUGGUAGAAAAAAUUGGGAUGAUUUGUUUAAGAAAUAUGAAUCCGGGGAUGAUUUCAAGAAGUUAUUUGUUAUCUUUUCGUUGUCCAAGCUUCUA
This is a long non-coding RNA of Beta vulgaris subsp. vulgaris (sugar beet), 672 nucleotides long. RefSeq lists it as uncharacterized. The transcript has 3 exons. The record is from RefSeq and is a predicted model, not a curated record. NCBI's taxonomy places the organism in Eukaryota, Viridiplantae, Streptophyta, Magnoliopsida, Caryophyllales, Amaranthaceae.